Molecule: ribosomal RNA, 1426 nt
Filed under: Salmonella enterica subsp. enterica serovar Urbana
Lineage: Bacteria; Pseudomonadati; Pseudomonadota; Gammaproteobacteria; Enterobacterales; Enterobacteriaceae
Description: partial 23S ribosomal RNA
Rfam family: Bacterial large subunit ribosomal RNA
Source: RNAcentral
ACUAACUGGAGGACCGAACCGACUAAUGUUGAAAAAUUAGCGGAUGACCUGUGGCUGGGGGUGAAAGGCCAAUCAAACCGGGAGAUAGCUGGUUCUCCCCGAAAGCUAUUUAGGUAGCGCCUCGUGAAUUCAUCUCCGGGGGUAGAGCACUGUUUCGGCUAGGGGGCCAUCCCGGCUUACCAACCCGAUGCAAACUGCGAAUACCGGAGAAUGUUAUCACGGGAGACACACGGCGGGUGCUAACGUCCGUCGUGAAGAGGGAAACAACCCAGACCGCCAGCUAAGGUCCCAAAGUCAUGGUUAAGUGGGAAACGAUGUGGGAAGGCCCAGACAGCCAGGAUGUUGGCUUAGAAGCAGCCAUCAUUUAAAGAAAGCGUAAUAGCUCACUGGUCGAGUCGGCCUGCGCGGAAGAUGUAACGGGGCUAAACCAUGCACCGAAGCUGCGGCAGCGACGCUGAUGCGUUGUUGGGUAGGGGAGCGUUCUGUAAGCCUGCGAAGGUGUGUCGUGAGGCAUGCUGGAGGUAUCAGAAGUGCGAAUGCUGACAUAAGUAACGAUAAAGCGGGUGAAAAGCCCGCUCGCCGGAAGACCAAGGGUUCCUGUCCAACGUUAAUCGGGGCAGGGUGAGUCGACCCCUAAGGCGAGGCCGAAAGGCGUAGUCGAUGGGAAACGGGUUAAUAUUCCCGUACUUGGUGUUACUGCGAAGGGGGGACGGAGAAGGCUAUGUUGGCCGGGCGACGGUUGUCCCGGUUUAAGCGUGUAGGUGUGUGUUCCAGGUAAAUCCGGUUCACUUUAACACUGAGGCGUGAUGACGAGGCACUACGGUGCUGAAGCAACAAAUGCCCUGCUUCCAGGAAAAGCCUCUAAGCAUCAGGUAACAUCAAAUCGUACCCCAAACCGACACAGGUGGUCAGGUAGAGAAUACCAAGGCGCUUGAGAGAACUCGGGUGAAGGAACUAGGCAAAAUGGUGCCGUAACUUCGGGAGAAGGCACGCUGACACGUAGGUGAAGUGAUUUACUCAUGGAGCUGAAGUCAGUCGAAGAUACCAGCUGGCUGCAACUGUUUAUUAAAAACACAGCACUGUGCAAACACGAAAGUGGACGUAUACGGUGUGACGCCUGCCCGGUGCCGGAAGGUUAAUUGAUGGGGUCAGCGCAAGCGAAGCUCCUGAUCGAAGCCCCGGUAAACGGCGGCCGUAACUAUAACGGUCCUAAGGUAGCGAAAUUCCUUGUCGGGUAAGUUCCGACCUGCACGAAUGGCGUAAUGAUGGCCAGGCUGUCUCCACCCGAGACUCAGUGAAAUUGAACUCGCUGUGAAGAUGCAGUGUACCCGCGGCAAGACGGAAAGACCCCGUGAACCUUUACUAUAGCUUGACACUGAACAUUGAGCCUUGAUGUGUAGGAUAGGUGGGAGGCUUUGAAGUGUGG